UAUAUUCUCCGCAAGGGGGGGAUGAGAACCCCCGACCGGGGUUCGACAACUGACGCAGCCAGUUGGACAGACUGAGAGCGAAGCGAACAGGCUGCCCGCAGGGCGAGCGAAGCGAGUCAAUCCCCCCCUCACCGCCA
This 137-nucleotide small RNA is filed under the name Enterobacter hormaechei. RNAcentral's name for it is "RtT sRNA". It matches the Rfam family "RtT RNA". Rfam says of the family: This family represents a bacterial cis-regulatory element known as RtT RNA. The exact function of RtT is unknown although it is thought that it may be involved in changing the cellular response in relation to amino acid starvation. The record is from RNAcentral. Lineage: Bacteria; Pseudomonadati; Pseudomonadota; Gammaproteobacteria; Enterobacterales; Enterobacteriaceae. RNAcentral also lists the same sequence under 1 other name.